AGAAUGGAGCAUGGCUGCCCCAAGGGCAGAUUAGGACUGGCACUAUGGAGUUCACCCUGGCCACCUGCCCUCAGCUCCUCUGAGAUUGCAGAGCCCCAGCAGGCCAUCCUAGAGCCACUUACCUACCAACCACCGAUUGGAUGACUGAUGAAUCUGAUAAUCUCUCUGGAUAUACACCAAUGAAACUCCUUCAACUCCCCCUGUGCUGGGGGCAAAGUUAGGCAUGCCCAUGCUAAGUAGGGUGUGUCUCACCAGCCACCUGGAGCCCCAUCCUUAUGGUUUCAGGUCUUAGAUUUAAGUCUUUGAUCUACCUUCAGUGGAUUUUUGUAUAAGGUAAGAGAUGAGGAUACCAGUACCAUGCUGUUUUGGUGACUAUGGUCUUAUAGUAUAGUUUGAAGUCAGGUAAUGUGAUGUCUCCAGAUUUGUUCUUUUUGCUUAGUCUUGCUUUAGCUAUUUGGGCUCCUUUUUGGUUCCAUAUGUAUUUUAAGUUUGUUUUUUCUAGUUCUGUGAAGAAUGAUGGUGGUAUUUUGAUGGGAAUUGCAUUGAAUUUGUAGACUGCUUUUGGCCGUAUGGUCAUUUUCACAAUGUUGAUUCUAUACAUCCAUGAGCAUGGGAUGUGUUUCCAUUUGUGUGUGUCAUCUAUGAUUUUUUUCAGUAGUGUUUUGUAGUUUUCCUUGUAGAGGUCUUUUACCUCCUUGGUUAGGUAUAUUCCUCAGUGGUUUUUGUUUGAGGUGUGUGUGUGUGUGUGUGUGUGUGUGUGUGUGUGUGUAGCUAUUGUGAAAGUGGUUGAGUUCUUGAUUGAUUGUCAGUUUGGUCACUGUUGCAGUAUAGCAGUGCUACUGAUUUGUGUACAUUAAUUUUGUAUCCUGAAACUUCGCUGAAUUCAUUUUUUAGUUCCAGAGCUUUUUGGAGGAUUCUUUAGGGUUUUCUAGGUGUAUGAUCUUAUCAUCAGCAAACAGCGACAGUGUGACUUCUUCUUUACCAAUUUGGAUGCCCUUUAUUUUUUCUCUUGUCUGAUUGCUCUGGCUAGGACUUUCAGUACUGUGUUGACUAGAAGUGGUGAAAGUGGACAUUCUUGUCUUGUUCCAGGGGGAAUGCUUUCAACAUUUUCCACUUCAGUAUAAUACUGGUUGUGGGUUUGUAGUAGAUGGCUUUUAUUACCUUAAGGUAUGUCCCUUCUAUGCCAAUUUUGCUGAGGGCUUUCAUCAUAGAAGGAUGCUGGAUUUUGUCAAAUGCUUUUUCUGCAUCUAUUGAGAUGAUCAUGUGAUUUUUGUUUUUAAUUCUGUUUAUGUGGUGUAUCACAUUUAUUGACUUGUGGAUGUUAAACCAUCCCUGCAUCCUUGGUAUGAAACCCACUUGAUAUGGUGGAUUAUCUUUUUGAUAUACUGUUGGAUUUGGUUAGCUAGUAUUUUGCUGAGGAUUUUUGCAUCUGUGUUCCUCAGGGAAAUUGAUCUGUAGUUUUCUUUUUUUGUUAUGUCCUUUCCUGGAUUUGGUAUUAGGGUGAUACUGGCUUCACAGAAAGAUUUACGGAGGAUUCUCUCUUUCUCUAUCUUUUGGAAUAGUGUCAAUAGGAUUGGUACCAAUCCUUCUUUGAAUAUCUGAUAGAAUUCAGCUGUGAAUCCAUCUGGUCCUGGUUUUGUUGGUCUGUUCAGUUUGUGUUUCUUCCGGGUUUAAUCUAGGAGGGUUGUAUAUUUCCAGGAACUUAUCCAUCUCCUCUAGGUUUUCUAGUUUACGCACAUAAAUGUGUUCUAGUAGCCUUGAAUGAUCUUUUGUAUUUCUGUGGUAUUGGUUGUAAUAUCUCCUGUUUCAUUUCUAAUGGAGCUUAUUUGGAUCUUCUCCCCUUUUCUUGGUUAGUCUUGCUAGUGGUCUAUCAAUUUUAUUUAUUUUUUCAAAGAAACAGCUUUUUGUUUCAUUUAUUUUAUGUAUUUUUGUUUGUUUCAGUAUCAUUUACUUCUGCUCUGACCUUUGUUAUUUCUUUUUUUCUUUUUCUUUUUUUCUUUGAGAUGGAGCCUUGCACUGUCCCCUGGGCUGGAGUGCAAUGGCGUGAUCUUGGCUCACUGCAAC
Molecule: long non-coding RNA, 2064 nt
Filed under: Homo sapiens (human)
Lineage: Eukaryota; Metazoa; Chordata; Mammalia; Primates; Hominidae
Description: non-protein coding lnc-ACOT12-6:1
Source: RNAcentral